GCUCAGUUGGUUAGAGCGCACGCCUGAUAAGCGUGAGGUCGGCAGUUCAAAUCUGCC
Molecule: transfer RNA, 57 nt
Filed under: Deinococcus maricopensis DSM 21211
Lineage: Bacteria; Thermotogati; Deinococcota; Deinococci; Deinococcales; Deinococcaceae
Rfam family: tRNA
About the family: Transfer RNA (tRNA) molecules are approximately 80 nucleotides in length. Their secondary structure includes four short double-helical elements and three loops (D, anti-codon, and T loops).
Source: Rfam by way of RNAcentral